This 1476-nucleotide ribosomal RNA is filed under the name Bacillus amyloliquefaciens. Its description in RNAcentral is "bacterial SSU rRNA". It matches the Rfam family "Bacterial small subunit ribosomal RNA". The record is from RNAcentral. Lineage: Bacteria; Bacillati; Bacillota; Bacilli; Caryophanales; Bacillaceae.
CAGGACGAACGCUGGCGGCGUGCCUAAUACAUGCAAGUCGAGCGGACAGAUGGGAGCUUGCUCCCUGAUGUUAGCGGCGGACGGGUGAGUAACACGUGGGUAACCUGCCUGUAAGACUGGGAUAACUCCGGGAAACCGGGGCUAAUACCGGAUGGUUGUUUGAACCGCAUGGUUCAGACAUAAAAGGUGGCUUCGGCUACCACUUACAGAUGGACCCGCGGCGCAUUAGCUAGUUGGUGAGGUAACGGCUCACCAAGGCAACGAUGCGUAGCCGACCUGAGAGGGUGAUCGGCCACACUGGGACUGAGACACGGCCCAGACUCCUACGGGAGGCAGCAGUAGGGAAUCUUCCGCAAUGGACGAAAGUCUGACGGAGCAACGCCGCGUGAGUGAUGAAGGUUUUCGGAUCGUAAAGCUCUGUUGUUAGGGAAGAACAAGUGCCGUUCAAAUAGGGCGGCACCUUGACGGUACCUAACCAGAAAGCCACGGCUAACUACGUGCCAGCAGCCGCGGUAAUACGUAGGUGGCAAGCGUUGUCCGGAAUUAUUGGGCGUAAAGGGCUCGCAGGCGGUUUCUUAAGUCUGAUGUGAAAGCCCCCGGCUCAACCGGGGAGGGUCAUUGGAAACUGGGGAACUUGAGUGCAGAAGAGGAGAGUGGAAUUCCACGUGUAGCGGUGAAAUGCGUAGAGAUGUGGAGGAACACCAGUGGCGAAGGCGACUCUCUGGUCUGUAACUGACGCUGAGGAGCGAAAGCGUGGGGAGCGAACAGGAUUAGAUACCCUGGUAGUCCACGCCGUAAACGAUGAGUGCUAAGUGUUAGGGGGUUUCCGCCCCUUAGUGCUGCAGCUAACGCAUUAAGCACUCCGCCUGGGGAGUACGGUCGCAAGACUGAAACUCAAAGGAAUUGACGGGGGCCCGCACAAGCGGUGGAGCAUGUGGUUUAAUUCGAAGCAACGCGAAGAACCUUACCAGGUCUUGACAUCCUCUGACAAUCCUAGAGAUAGGACGUCCCCUUCGGGGGCAGAGUGACAGGUGGUGCAUGGUUGUCGUCAGCUCGUGUCGUGAGAUGUUGGGUUAAGUCCCGCAACGAGCGCAACCCUUGAUCUUAGUUGCCAGCAUUCAGUUGGGCACUCUAAGGUGACUGCCGGUGACAAACCGGAGGAAGGUGGGGAUGACGUCAAAUCAUCAUGCCCCUUAUGACCUGGGCUACACACGUGCUACAAUGGACAGAACAAAGGGCAGCGAAACCGCGAGGUUAAGCCAAUCCCACAAAUCUGUUCUCAGUUCGGAUCGCAGUCUGCAACUCGACUGCGUGAAGCUGGAAUCGCUAGUAAUCGCGGAUCAGCAUGCCCGGUGGAAUACCGUUCCCGGGGCCUUGUACACACCGCCCGUCACACCACGAGAGUUUGUAACACCCGAAGUCGGUGAGGUAACCUUUUAGGAGCCAGCCGCCGAAGGUGGGACAGAUGAUUGGGGU